GUGGGGAAUUUUGGACAAUGGGCGCAAGCCUGAUCCAGCAAUGCCGCGUGCAGGAAGAAGGCCUUCGGGUUGUAAACUGCUUUUGUACGGAACGAAACGGUCCUGGCUAAUAUCCGGGGCUAAUGACGGUACCGUAAGAAUAAGCACCGGCUAACUACGUGCCAGCAGCCGCGGUAAUACGUAGGGUGCGAGCGUUAAUCGGAAUUACUGGGCGUAAAGCGUGCGCAGGCGGUGCUGUAAGACAGGCGUUAAAUCCCCGGGCUCAACCUGGGAAUUGCGCUUGUGACUGCAGUGCUGGAGUGCGGCAGAGGGGGAUGGAAUUCCGCGUGUAGCAGUGAAAUGCGUAGAUAUGCGGAGGAACACCGAUGGCGAAGGCAAUCCCCUGGGCCUGCACUGACGCUCAUGCACGAAAGCGUGGGGAGCAAACAGGAUUAGAUACCCGUGUAGUCC
This 450-nucleotide ribosomal RNA is filed under the name uncultured bacterium. RNAcentral's name for it is "partial 16S ribosomal RNA". It matches the Rfam family "Bacterial small subunit ribosomal RNA", at positions 354 to 796 of the family's 1533-position model. The record is from RNAcentral.